RNAcentral lists this transfer RNA (72 nucleotides) under Bos grunniens (domestic yak). It matches the Rfam family "tRNA". From Rfam's summary of the family: Transfer RNA (tRNA) molecules are approximately 80 nucleotides in length. Their secondary structure includes four short double-helical elements and three loops (D, anti-codon, and T loops). Lineage: Eukaryota; Metazoa; Chordata; Mammalia; Artiodactyla; Bovidae. The record is from Rfam by way of RNAcentral. RNAcentral also lists the same sequence under 1 other name.
UCCCCGGUGUCUUAGUUGGUAAAGAAUCAGCCUGCUGUGCAGGAGACCUGGGUUCAAUCCCUGGUUCGAGAA